This 699-nucleotide long non-coding RNA is filed under the name Mytilus galloprovincialis (Mediterranean mussel). Lineage: Eukaryota; Metazoa; Mollusca; Bivalvia; Mytilida; Mytilidae. The record is from RNAcentral.
GUUAGUAUUCAAACACAGUUAUUACAAUUUUAGAAGGAGUAGACAUGGACGCAAAUUAUUAAAGCGUCAUCCACACAUUUUGGCAAUUUAUAUUUUGAAAUUGGUUUUGUUCUUAAAUUAAUAUAUGGAUUAGCAUUUAAUAUUGAAUUCGGAAAGAACAUGCAUGUUGACAGAAAAUAAAAUGUUUUCCCAUAUUCCAUGUUUUAGUUCCCACGACACUGUCAUAGAAUCGUCAGAUCUGAGAACAUUUAGCACCGCAGUUUUAAAGGCCUGUUUGGUUUCCCAAUAGCAAGUCACUGACUUUGCCUUGUUUAAACAAUGGUAAAUCAAGUAGCCAAAAAUACAAUGCAUAUUCAGGACAACAAAUGAGCUGCUCGGUUUUCUAGUUUUGGAAUUUUGAAAUAAUGGUUCUCUUUUCUGGAACAUUGAUUAAACUCCAAAAGUUGGCAUUCUCAUGACACAACUAUUAACCCUUUGUCUUUAUAUAUUAGACUGUUGAAUAAAAGUAUGUCGAAAUAUAGGUGUGUCGGAAUAAUGGGGUUGUCUUGAUACACAUAUCUGAAGUCCAGACUUGAAAUAUGUAUUUGAACGCAAAACAUAUUUUAUUUAUUCAAGAUUUUCUGUCGAAAAUAACCUCUUUAAAAUGACUUAGUUUAUUAACAUAUGCUUAUUAAGUUUAUUAUGUAUAUGGCUCUCCGC